RNAcentral lists this ribosomal RNA (497 nucleotides) under uncultured bacterium. Its description in RNAcentral is "partial 16S ribosomal RNA". It matches the Rfam family "Bacterial small subunit ribosomal RNA", at positions 28 to 507 of the family's 1533-position model. The record is from RNAcentral.
GAUGAACGCUGGCGGCGUGCCUAAUACAUGCAAGUCGAGCGAACGGACGAGAAGCUUGCUUCUCUGAUGUUAGCGGCGGACGGGUGAGUAACACGUGGAUAACCUACCUAUAAGACUGGGAUAACUUCGGGAAACCGGAGCUAAUACCGGAUAAUAUUUUGAACCGCAUGGUUCAAAAGUGAAAGACGGUCUUGCUGUCACUUAUAGAUGGAUCCGCGCUGCAUUAGCUAGUUGGUAAGGUAACGGCUUACCAAGGCAACGAUGCAUAGCCGACCUGAGAGGGUGAUCGGCCACACUGGAACUGAGACAAGGUCCAGACUCCUACGAGAGGCAGCAGUAGGGAAUCUUCCGCAAUGGGCGAAAGCCUGACGGAGCAACGCCGCGUGAGUGAUGAAGGUCUUCGGAUCGUAAAACUCUGUUAUUAGGGAAGAACAUAUGUGUAAGUAACUGUGCACAUCUUGACGGUACCUAAUCAGAAAGCCACGGCUAACUACGUG